Molecule: ribosomal RNA, 360 nt
Filed under: Triticum aestivum (bread wheat)
Lineage: Eukaryota; Viridiplantae; Streptophyta; Magnoliopsida; Poales; Poaceae
Description: partial small subunit ribosomal RNA
Source: RNAcentral
AUGACCAGAGUUCCGCGAGGAUAUAUAGCCCGGAGACGACGAACAAAAAUGCGUUCAUUUGCCUCAAACUUUAGAGGGGCUCAUUUAAGACUUAAUCGAAUGAUUACCCAACAGGUAAAAAGAGCUUUUGUUUCCUCUCAUCGAGAUAGAGGUAGGCAAAAGAGGGAUUUUCGUCGUUUGUGGAUCACUCGGAUAAACGCAGCAACGCGGGUAUAUAAAGUAUUCGAUAGUUAUAGUAAAUUAAUACACAACCUGUACAAGAAGAAAUUGAUUCUUAAUCGUAAAAUGCUUGCACAAGUAGCUGUAUCAAAUCCAAAUAAUCUUUACACGAUUUCCAAUAAAAUAAAGAUCAUCAAUUAA